Molecule: non-coding RNA, 46 nt
Filed under: Schistosoma mansoni
Lineage: Eukaryota; Metazoa; Platyhelminthes; Trematoda; Strigeidida; Schistosomatidae
Source: RNAcentral
AUCUAGCUGGCGAGUCCCAAAUAGGGACAAAACGAGCGUCCUGGAU